CGGGAAGGUAGUGCUGGAGGAAAGAAAGAAAAAGAUGACCUGGCCUCCUUGUAAACGUGUGAAUGGCAUACACAUACAGCACCUUUACCAGAAAAGAGGUCUAAGAGUUCGGAUGGCAAACAAACUAGCAUCUCUGAAUUUAUGGGACGGAGUCUCAUUGUUACGCGGCUGGCGUACAGUGGCGCAAUCUCGGCUCACUGCAACCUCCAUCUCUUGGGUUCAAGCGAU
RNAcentral lists this long non-coding RNA (228 nucleotides) under Pan troglodytes (chimpanzee). RNAcentral's name for it is "long non-coding RNA NONPTRT014894". Lineage: Eukaryota; Metazoa; Chordata; Mammalia; Primates; Hominidae. The record is from RNAcentral.